RNAcentral lists this long non-coding RNA (176 nucleotides) under Cavia porcellus (domestic guinea pig). RNAcentral describes it as "lncRNA (ENSCPOG00000040009.1)". The record is from RNAcentral. Lineage: Eukaryota; Metazoa; Chordata; Mammalia; Rodentia; Caviidae.
UAAGUGUUUUUUCCCCCUGCAGCUUGCUGAGUAGCAGCUGACAUGCACAGGAUUGUAUAUAGAAGAUGCUGACAAGAAAAGACACAGAAAGGAUAAUCAACUGCCAUGGAUGCCUACAACCUGACCACUCUGGAAAGAUAAGGCAGGAGGAUCACAAAUUUGAGCCCACCCUCAGC